This 796-nucleotide ribosomal RNA is filed under the name uncultured bacterium. RNAcentral's name for it is "bacterial SSU rRNA". It matches the Rfam family "Bacterial small subunit ribosomal RNA", at positions 49 to 840 of the family's 1533-position model. The record is from RNAcentral.
CCUUACAUGCAGUCGACGGCAGCACGGGAGCAAUCCUGGUGGCGAGUGGCGAACGGGUGAGUAAUGUAUCGGAACGUACCUUUCAGUGGGGGAUAACGUAGCGAAAGUUACGCUAAUACCGCAUAUUCUGUGCGCAGGAAAGCAGGGGAUCGCAAGACCUUGCGCUGAUUGAGCGGCCGAUAUCAGAUUAGCUAGUUGGUGAGGUAAAGGCUCACCAAGGCGACGAUCUGUAGCGGGUCUGAGAGGAUGAUCCGCCACACUGGAACUGAGACACGGUCCAGACUCCUACGGGAGGCAGCAGUGGGGAAUUUUGGACAAUGGGGGCAACCCUGAUCCAGCCAUGCCGCGUGAGUGAAGAAGGCCUUCGGGUUGUAAAGCUCUUUCGGCCGGGAAGAAAUCGCAUGGGUUAAUACCCUGUGCGGAUGACGGUACCGGCAUAAGAAGCACCGGCUAACUACGUGCCAGCAGCCGCGGUAAUACGUAGGGUGCGAGCGUUAAUCGGAAUUACUGGGCGUAAAGCGUGCGCAGGCGGUUUUGUAAGACAGGCGUGAAAUCCCCGGGCUCAACCUGGGAACUGCGCUUGUGACUGCAAGGCUAGAGUAUGGCAGAGGGGGGUGGAAUUCCACGUGUAGCAGUGAAAUGCGUAGAGAUGUGGAGGAACACCAAUGGCGAAGGCAGCCCCCUGGGCCAAUACUGACGCUCAUGCACGAAAGCGUGGGUAGCAAACAGGAUUAGAUACCCUGGUAGUCCACGCCCUAAACGAAUGUCAACUAGGUGUUGGGGUGGGGUAAAACCC